AUUGUGUCUUGUAGGUGCUGGCAGCUCUUGAGUCCAUGACGCUGAGUAAGCAGUAUGUGGAGUACCAGGACCAGAUACUGCAUGCUGUCCAGUUUAUAAGACAUCCUGGCCACUGCCUUCAGAACGGGAAAAGCUUCCUGGCCUUUUUUGUUAACCGUCUCUACCCAGAAGUGCAUUAUCUGGACAACAUCCGGUAGUGGGCAGAAGCCCGAGAAGCACCGCGUUGCCCCUGUGUUUACAUUACCUGUGCUCUUGUGCAUGUAUCUUUGCUAUUUCACCACAGAGCUCAGUUCUGCCUGCCCCAACUGAGGUGCAGGGCAGGCAUCAGGUAGUCUGGGUGUAUGUGUAUUGUCUCUUACUGCCCAGCGGCCAUUUUAGUGCGAAUGCCCUUCCUCAAGGACAACUCAGUUGCCCUGCGUACAGAACCACUCACAUCUCGGGGCUGUGCCAAUCAGCUCCCUAAGAACAACAACAGAUGGAGCUUUUGGUAUGUCUGCACUUCCGUCUCCCUGCUUUGUUUAAAUGUCAGGACUCCUGUGCCAGAUCUGACCUCUGUGGGAGGCAUGAAGAGCCCUCUUUGGACUCCAUUGUAGUCUUCCGAUGUAAACAUCCUGCAUUUCUCAAAUGUGGGAAAACACACCAGCUUAAAAGUAUUGUGUUACUGCUCUUAGAGUAAAGAUGAUACACUGGAUCAUUUCAGGAGUGG
Molecule: long non-coding RNA, 706 nt
Filed under: Rattus norvegicus (Norway rat)
Lineage: Eukaryota; Metazoa; Chordata; Mammalia; Rodentia; Muridae
Description: long non-coding RNA NONRATT013609
Source: RNAcentral